CUCCUUCACUGGGACUUCAACCCCGGCCUUGCUGUGGCCGACAAGGUGCAUUGCCGUUUUGGACAAACUGUUCAUUUUUCGCCUUCUCGUUCAACCAAGGAAUUUUUCUUGGUUGUCUCCUUUUCCUCGGCCUAUUUUUCUCUGUCUAAAGAAUCCGUUAGUAUUGCUUUGCAAUGUUGUAUUCGUGGACAUCCACGUGGUUUCAAGGUUUCUUAG
This 216-nucleotide ribosomal RNA is filed under the name Triticum aestivum (bread wheat). RNAcentral describes it as "partial small subunit ribosomal RNA". The record is from RNAcentral. Lineage: Eukaryota; Viridiplantae; Streptophyta; Magnoliopsida; Poales; Poaceae.